Molecule: long non-coding RNA, 434 nt
Filed under: Anser cygnoides (Swan goose)
Lineage: Eukaryota; Metazoa; Chordata; Aves; Anseriformes; Anatidae
Description: lncRNA (ENSACDG00005009020.1)
Source: RNAcentral
AUGACUUUAUGUAUAUUGUGGUAUUGGACAGUCUUUUUUGCAGGCUCUGUGACUGAAACGAAUUUACAAUUAGACUUCUUUAAAAGAAAACCAGACAACCAGCGGACAGGCUGUGGAGACAUACCUGAAAAUGUGAACCAGCUAUGCUCUGAUGCUAGCAGGCAAAUGGAAAGAAUCAUCACUGUGAAGUGGGUGCAUGUGUGCCAUCCACAGCUUAGUGUUAAAUUAUUUUUUCACCCCUCAGUCCAGAAGAAAAUGGAUUCCAACAGUGCAAUGAAGAUGAAGGCAACCACAGAGGAAAAAGAAGUAAAGAAAUGCUUGAGUGUUGAUGUAUUUGUAAAUGACUCUCUGGGAGAAAAAAAAAUGCACUUUAAGAAAAUAAACUCAGUAUAAGGCCUAAUAAAAAUAAAAUUUUAUGAAAAAUAUAAAAAUCC